AGAUAGGUUGAUUCUUAAUCUGAUCCAAGAUAACAGCCCUAUCGGUGUUAAGUGUUGUGUACGUCCUAUUUACUCUCUGGGCUGGAGCGGACGAACGUCCUCCACCCUGUCUCCAAUUGUUGUAUCUCUUCGACCCGCCUUCAUAGCGGUCUUUAUUCCCUUCAUUCUUCUUCUGGUCCCCAUCGGUUUUGUCCCGAUCUGUCUCCUUAAGCCGGUCUGAAGAAGGACGUUUGAGGCUGUUCAUGGCUUCCUCCACCACGAUAUAGCCUUCAGCUUUGUCGAAGGCUUCAGCGAGACUCUUCGGGUGGUUAAACAUUAAUUUCUUCACCAACUUUUCUGAUUUGACCAAAUCUAACCCAUUCUGAAAUAGUCCCACAGCUUGUAGAUCGUUCAGGUCUGUCACUUGG
This 407-nucleotide long non-coding RNA is filed under the name Panax ginseng (ginseng). Its description in RNAcentral is "long non-coding RNA (PGIN_LNC003864)". The record is from RNAcentral. Lineage: Eukaryota; Viridiplantae; Streptophyta; Magnoliopsida; Apiales; Araliaceae.